CCACUCGUAGCCUGGUGGUCAGAGCAGUGGUGCGUAAAGCCAAAGAUCCCGGGUUCAAUUCCCGGCGAGAGUG
This 73-nucleotide transfer RNA is filed under the name Agrilus planipennis (emerald ash borer). It matches the Rfam family "tRNA". Rfam says of the family: Transfer RNA (tRNA) molecules are approximately 80 nucleotides in length. Their secondary structure includes four short double-helical elements and three loops (D, anti-codon, and T loops). The record is from Rfam by way of RNAcentral. Lineage: Eukaryota; Metazoa; Arthropoda; Insecta; Coleoptera; Buprestidae.